RNAcentral lists this ribosomal RNA (2418 nucleotides) under human gut metagenome. Its description in RNAcentral is "bacterial LSU rRNA". It matches the Rfam family "Bacterial large subunit ribosomal RNA", at positions 14 to 2455 of the family's 2925-position model. The record is from RNAcentral.
AGGGCGUACGGCGAAUGCCUUGCCACUCGAAACUGAAGAAGGACGCGCCAAACUGCGAAAAGCUCCGUGAAGCUGUAAGGAAGCGAAGAAGCGGAGGUGUCCGAAUGGGGGAACCCGGCAGCAGACAUGAGCUGUCAUCUGCAGGUGAAUACAUGGCCUGCAAGAGAGGUACCCGGCGAACUGAAACAUCUAAGUAGCCGGAGGAAAAGAAAACAACAGUGAUUCCCUGAGUAGCGGCGAGCGAAAGGGGAGAAGCCCAAACCGGUUGAAGGACCGGGGUUGAAGGACCAUGACAUGGCAAGAACGAGGAUAGGAGAACGGGAUCGAAAGCCCGGCCGAAGAAGGUGAAAGCCCUGUAACCGAAAUCCGAGUAAAGCCUAAUGGGAUCCUGAGUACGGCGAGACACGAGAAAUCUUGUCGGAAGCAGGCGGGACCAUCCGCCAAGGCUAAAUAUAAACGAGUGAGCGAUAGUGAACCAGUACCGUGAGGGAAAGGUGAAAAGAACCGCGGGAGCGGAGUGAAAGAGAACCUGAAACCGUAUGCCUACAAGAAGUCAGAGCCCGUUAAGGGGUGAUGGCGUGCCUUUUGUAGAAUGAACCGGCGAGUUGCGACAGACUGCGAGGUUAAGGAGGAAAGACCGGAGCCGAAGCGAAAGCGAGUCUUAAGAGGGCGAAAGUAGGAUGUUGCAGACCCGAAACCGGGUGAUCUAGCCAUGAGCAGGUUGAAGUUGAGGUGAAACUCAAUGGAGGACCGAACCGACUACCGUUGAAAAGUUAGCGGAUGACUUGUGGCUAGGGGAGAAAUUCCAAUCGAACCCGGAGAUAGCUGGUUCUCCCCGAAAUAGCUUUAGGGCUAGCGUCGGAAAGAACCUUAGUGAAGGUAGAGCACUGAAUGUGUGAUGGCCCCAUCCCGGGGUACUGAAUACAAUCAAACUGCGAAUGUCAUUAAGGAUGUCCGGCAGUCAGACUGUGAGUGAUAAGGUCCAUGGUCAAGAGGGAAACAGCCCAGACCGCCAGUUAAGGUCCCAAAAUACAGGCUAAGUGGAAAAGGAUGUGGGGAUGCCCAGACAACUAGGAGGUUGGCUCAGAAGCAGCCAUCCUUUAAAGAGUGCGUAACAGCUCACUAGUCGAGUGACCCUGCGCCGAAAAUGUACCGGGGCUAAGCCUGAUACCGAAACUGCGGAUUGUAGGAAACUAUAGUGGUAGGGGAGCGUUGUAUACGAGCAGAAGCCGUACCGUGAGGAGCGGUGGAUUGUAUAGAAGUGAGAAUGCCGGUGUGAGUAGCGAGAUGUAGGUGAGAAUCCUACACACCGAAAGCCCAAGGAUUCCAGGGGAAGGUUCGUCCGCCCUGGGUAAGUCGGGACCUAACGCGAGGCCGAAAGGCGUAGUGGAUGGAAAGCAGGCGAAAGAUUCCUGCACCCGUAUAUGGAGCGAAGGAGUGACGGAGACGGAUAGUGUGACCCUCUUAAUGGAUUGAGGGCGAAGCGAAGCGGCUGGUUACCAGGCAAAUCCGGUAACCAUAAGGCUAGAGCGUGACAGGUAAGCGAAAUCUUAGGAAAGUAGCGAAGCACAUGAUGACGGCUUCCAGGAAAAGCUUCUGGCAAUGCAUAUGCGGCCCGUACCAAAACCGACACAGGUGGGCAGGGAGAGAAUCCCGAGGUGAGCGAGAGAACUGUUGCCAAGGAACUCGGCAAAAUGACUCCGUAAGUUAGCGAGAAGGAGUGCUUAAGCAAUUAAGCCGCAGUGAAGAGGCCCAAGCGACUGUUUAACUAAAACACAGCUCUCUGCGAAGUCGCAAGACGAAGUAUAGGGGGUGACACCUGCCCGGUGCUGGAAGGUUAAGAGGAUCUGUUAAGAGCGAUCUGAAGCAGUGAUCCGAAGCCCCAGUGAACGGCGGCCGUAACUAUAACGGUCCUAAGGUAGCGAAAUUCCUUGUCAGGUAAGUUCUGACCCGCACGAAAGGUGUAACGAUUUGGGCGCUGUCUCGGCAGCAGACUCGGUGAAAUCUUAGUACCUGUGAAAAUGCAGGUUACCCGCAACUAGACGGAAAGACCCCAUGGAGCUUUACUGCAGCCUGAUAUUGAAUUCUGGUCAUACAUGUACAGGAUAGGUGGGAGACAAAGAGACGUGCACGCCAGUGUACGAGGAGUCGACGUUGGGAUACCACUCUUGUGUGACCGGGGUUCUAACCUGGUAUCGAGAACAGGUACGGGGAGAGUGUCAGGUGGGCAGUUUGACUGGGGCGGUCGCCUCCCAAAGAGUAACGGAGGCGCCCAAAGGUACGCUCAGAUUGGAUGGAAACCAAUCGUCGAGUGCAAUUGCAGAAGCGUGCUUGACUGUGAGACAGACAAGUCGAACAGGGACGAAAGUCGGGAAUAGUGAUCCGGCGGUGCCGAAUGGAAGGGCCGUCGCUCAACGG